RNAcentral lists this ribosomal RNA (497 nucleotides) under uncultured bacterium. RNAcentral's name for it is "partial 16S ribosomal RNA". It matches the Rfam family "Bacterial small subunit ribosomal RNA", at positions 28 to 507 of the family's 1533-position model. The record is from RNAcentral.
GAUGAACGCUGGCGGCGUGCCUAAUACAUGCAAGUCGAGCGAACGGACGAGAAGCUUGCUUCUCUGAUGUUAGCGGCGGACGGGCGAGUAACACGUGGAUAACCUACCUAUAAGACUGGGAUAACUUCGGGAAACCGGAGCUAAUACCGGAUAAUAUUUUGAACCGCAUGGUUCAAAAGUGAAAGACGGUCUUGCUGUCACUUAUAGAUGGAUCCGCGCUGCAUUAGCUAGUUGGUAAGGUAACGGCUUACCAAGGCAACGAUGCAUAGCCGACCUGAGAGGGUGAUCGGCCACACUGGAACUGAGACACGGUCCAGACUCCUACGGGAGGCAGCAGUAGAGAAUCUUCCGCAAUGGGCGAAAGCCUGACGGAGCAACGCCGCGUGAGUGAUGAAGGUCUUCGGAUCGUAAAACUCUGUUAUUAGGGAAGAACAUAUGUGUAAGUAACUGUGCACAUCUUGACGGUACCUAAUCAGAAAGCCACGGCUAACUACGUG